CAUAACCAGGGCUAGACUGAGGGUUUAACAUAACCAGGGCUAGACUGAGGGUUUAACAUAACCAGGGCUAGACUGAGGGUUUAACAUUACCAGGGCUGGACUGAGGGUUUAACAUUACCAGGGCUGGACUGAGGGUUUAACAUUACCAGGGCUAGACUGAGGGUUUAACAUUACCAGGGCUAGACUGAGGGUUUAACAUAACCAGGGCUAGACUGAGGGUUUAACAUUACCAGGGCUAGACUGAGGGUUUAACAUAACCAGGGCUAGACUGAGGGUUUAACAUAACCAGGGCUAGACUGGGGGUUUAACAUUACCAGGGCUGGACUGAGGGUUUAACAUUACCAGGGCUAGACUGAGGGUUUAACAUUACCAGGGCUGGACUGAGGGUUUAACAUUACCAGGGCUGGACUGAGGGUUUAACAUUACCAGGGCUAGACUGAGGGUUUAACAUUACCAGGGCUAGACUGAGGGUUUAACAUUACCAGGGCUGGACUGAGGGUUUAACAUUACCAGGGCUGGACUGAGGGUUUAACAUUACCAGGGCUAGACUGAGGGUUUAACAUUACCAGGGCUAGACUGAGGGUUUAACAUUACCAGGGCUGGACUGAGGGUUUAACAUUACCAGGGCUGGACUGAGGGUUUAACAUUACCAGGGCUAGACUGAGGGUUUAACAUUACCAGGGCUAGACUGAGGGUUUAACAUAACCAGGGCUAGACUGAGGGUUUAACAUUACCAGGGCUAGACUGAGGGUUUAACAUUACCAGGGCUAGACUGAGGGUUUAACAUAACCAGGGCUAGACUGAGGGUUUAACAUUACCAGGGCUAGACUGAGGGUUUAACAUUACCAGGGCUAGACUGAGGGUUUAACAUUACCAGGGCUAGACUGAGGGUUUAACAUUACCAGGGCUAGACUGAGGGUUUAACAUUACCAGGGCUAGACUGAGGGUUUAACAUUACCAG
This is a long non-coding RNA of Oncorhynchus keta (chum salmon), 961 nucleotides long. RefSeq lists it as uncharacterized. The record is from RefSeq and is a predicted model, not a curated record. The transcript has 4 exons. Lineage: Eukaryota; Metazoa; Chordata; Actinopteri; Salmoniformes; Salmonidae.